Molecule: ribosomal RNA, 900 nt
Filed under: Acinetobacter sp. ANC 5378
Lineage: Bacteria; Pseudomonadati; Pseudomonadota; Gammaproteobacteria; Moraxellales; Moraxellaceae
Description: bacterial SSU rRNA
Rfam family: Bacterial small subunit ribosomal RNA
Source: RNAcentral
UAGCGGCGGACGGGUGAGUAAUGCUUAGGAAUCUGCCUAUUAGUGGGGGACAACAUUUCGAAAGGAAUGCUAAUACCGCAUACGCCCUACGGGGGAAAGCAGGGGAUCUUCGGACCUUGCGCUAAUAGAUGAGCCUAAGUCGGAUUAGCUAGUUGGUGGGGUAAAGGCCUACCAAGGCGACGAUCUGUAGCGGGUCUGAGAGGAUGAUCCGCCACACUGGGACUGAGACACGGCCCAGACUCCUACGGGAGGCAGCAGUGGGGAAUAUUGGACAAUGGGGGGAACCCUGAUCCAGCCAUGCCGCGUGUGUGAAGAAGGCCUUUUGGUUGUAAAGCACUUUAAGCGAGGAGGAGGAGCUCUAGAUUAAUACUCUAGAUGCUUGGACGUUACUCGCAGAAUAAGCACCGGCUAACUCUGUGCCAGCAGCCGCGGUAAUACAGAGGGUGCAAGCGUUAAUCGGAUUUACUGGGCGUAAAGCGUGCGUAGGUGGCCAAUUAAGUCAAAUGUGAAAUCCCCGAGCUUAACUUGGGAAUUGCAUUCGAUACUGGUUGGCUAGAGUAUGGGAGAGGAUGGUAGAAUUCCAGGUGUAGCGGUGAAAUGCGUAGAGAUCUGGAGGAAUACCGAUGGCGAAGGCAGCCAUCUGGCCUAAUACUGACACUGAGGUACGAAAGCAUGGGGAGCAAACAGGAUUAGAUACCCUGGUAGUCCAUGCCGUAAACGAUGUCUACUAGCCGUUGGGGCCUUUGAGGCUUUAGUGGCGCAGCUAACGCGAUAAGUAGACCGCCUGGGGAGUACGGUCGCAAGACUAAAACUCAAAUGAAUUGACGGGGGCCCGCACAAGCGGUGGAGCAUGUGGUUUAAUUCGAUGCAACGCGAAGAACCUUACCUGGUCUUGACAUA